This 301-nucleotide ribosomal RNA is filed under the name uncultured bacterium. RNAcentral describes it as "partial 16S ribosomal RNA". It matches the Rfam family "Bacterial small subunit ribosomal RNA", at positions 509 to 807 of the family's 1533-position model. The record is from RNAcentral.
CAGUCGCCGCGGUAAAACGAAGGGUGCAAGCGUUAAUCGGAAUUACUGGGCGUAAAGCGUGCGUAGGCGGUGAGUUAAGUCUGCUGUGAAAUCCCCGGGCUCAACCUGGGAAUGGCAGUGGAUACUGGCUCGCUAGAGUGUGUCAGAGGAUGGUGGAAUUCCCGGUGUAGCGGUGAAAUGCGUAAAGAUCGGGAGGAACGUCAGUGGCGAAGGCGGCCAUCUGGGACAACACUGACGCUGAGGCACGAAAGCGUGGGGAGCAAACAGGAUUAGAUACCCGCGUAGUCCCUGUCUCUUAUAC